RNAcentral lists this small RNA (125 nucleotides) under Marmota monax (woodchuck). Lineage: Eukaryota; Metazoa; Chordata; Mammalia; Rodentia; Sciuridae. The record is from RNAcentral.
GCUGGGUGCAGUGGUGUAUGCCUGUAAUUCCAGAGGCUCAGGAGGCUGAGGCAGGAGGAUCGCAAGUUCAAAGCCAGCCUCAGCAACAUCGAGAUACUAAGCAACUCAGUGGGAUCCUGUCUCUA